This 4330-nucleotide unclassified non-coding RNA is filed under the name Megachile rotundata (alfalfa leafcutting bee). RNAcentral describes it as "uncharacterized LOC100881864, transcript variant X8". The record is from RNAcentral. Lineage: Eukaryota; Metazoa; Arthropoda; Insecta; Hymenoptera; Megachilidae.
GCUGCUAUCCAAUUAACUUUAACCUCCACUUUGAAGGUCACCACUUUUGGUUGCACCGAGGCAUGACUCUCGUUGCCAGAACGAAGAGUCUGAAGCAGGAACAUGCGUGCCUUCAAUUAAUAACGCAAUCAUUCAAUCGACGCAUUGAACCGCGCUAGCUACGACUUCACAGUGAUCAUCAGUGCGAUUAAUUAGACGACGUAUGUAUAAAUUCGAUACACGAACGAUGAAAAAUUCUAAUAUUUAUAGAAAUAGAAUGGAAGUUUUCGGAGAUACGAUUAGUGGAGUUUCGUGUUCGCGAGUAUACAAAGAUAAUCGCGGAAUGAGUCACUCUUUCUUGAGGGCCCGGCUUCGCGAAGCGUGACACGUCCUAGCUUUGUUGUUUACGUUUAACUGAUUCUAUGCUCGUUACGUAAGUAUCCUUUUAGUACCGUUCCACGUAGUACGUUCGAAACCGUGGCGAUUCGAUGCAUUUGGAAUAAUUCGUAAACGGAACUAGAAAUGCCUAGAAAGCCGCGCGCGACCAUUGAAAAUGAUUAAUAUAUCGAGUAAUCGUUAAUCGGUUGAACCUCGAUACGUUUCAAUCGUUUCUCUCUACAAUCUUCGAUCACGAAGUUCUUUCCUAUCUUUUUUUUCUUGUUUCGAGUAGUUUCGCACUAAAGUCGUGUCACGCGAUUUUGUUAUUAGGAUUGAUCGAAUCGGUGCGAUCGAGUCCGUGACUCUGAAUCGAACGCGCCUAACGAACAAAGGUAUCUGUCGUUCGAGCAUCGCGUUAUACUCAUUACCAAGCUGAAGAACAAUAUGCUGCGAAUGUACGCUCCAAGAGUUUCUUUAUGUCUAUGAAUAGAUGUAGAGGCACGAGGGUAGGAGAAGUAACGAACAGAGAAACGGUUCUAACGUAAUCGCAACCGGCUUUGGAGAGCUCUCUUUACAUUUUGUAUAAGAGAGUAGUGCCGCUCGAUGGUAUCCUCAGUCAAGUCCGGAUCAUCGAAUAUUCAAUGAAAUUUCGUCGGCCAAGUGUUCCGUUUUAAUAGUACUUGAUCGAACACGGCGAAAACCAUCGCGUUUCAGAAGUUGAUCUAAUAUCGAUAAAAGUUGAUUUGUACGCGUAUACUAACCGGUGAAGUUGGUUCGGUCAGGGCGACGGAUCGUUAUCGAUGACACCGAAAUGCUCGGACAACGAGAACAUCGUACAUUUUUAUCGACUUUAUUUUACGUCGUCAAUGUCCUCUACCGAUGUUCACGAUUCCCUUGUCUGACGAUCGAUAAUCGUCUAGCAAUCGUUACCAAUGAUUGUUAUAGGAGGAUAUCGAUCGGUUCGAAAUUGGCCGAUACGGACGUUACGUUUCAAUCGACUGCAAGCAGUUUAACGGAAUGCGAAGAACAGUGUUCGAAACUUGGAAACGUUUGCGAAGCAUUUUCAUUUGGCGUCGGCGUAAAAGGUAACGGUAGUUGUUCGAUCACCGAUCGAACACCACCGUUUGAAAAUUUAUCGACUCAUCCAGAUUACGACGUUUACGUGAAAAAGCAAUGGAUUUCGCCACAGUGCGAUUCCGACUACCUCUACGGAAGCUUUAGAUCAGAAACAGGAGCUCGUUUAACUAAAACCGAUGAAACGAGUAACGAACAGAACGUCGCAAAUACUAACGGUACCUCGUCAACCUUCAUACCAUGGCCUUUUUUCCUAUCUGUACCACCGAUUAACGCCAAAUCACUUUCCAGAAGCAGAGAAGACACGGCAAAUUACAAACUUCUCGGUAUCUAUGAUCAAUCUAUCAAUCACCACGGACGUUUUCUUUCCGGUGACGACAGUCGUAAUAGAAUUCUAGACAGUCUUGCGAAUAGAAAUGAAAGAACAGCAUCGAGCAGUCUUUUCGUUAGAAUUUGUCAUCGGAAAAUACAAGCUGGCAAGAAGAUGGUAAAACUACUCGCUGAACGUGUGAUAAAUUGCGAGAAGCUUCAAGAUUGUUGUCGGGCUUGUGCUUACGAAAAAUCUUUCGUUUGCAGAGGUUUUAAUCACAGACACGGAACGGACGAUUCCCGAUGUACGUGCGAAUUGACGUCGGCUUCGUAUUCUCGCAUGGACGCCGACGACGAUUUCUUAGUUGACACCGACUACGAUUAUUACGAGAGAGAACAGAAUUGUCUGCCUUCGACGCAAUUCGACGAUGGAUCGCGCUGGAAGAAUGAUCCUUCUGAACAUUACGAGCGGACUAAACCGGAAACGUGGUUGAACGCGAAAAACGCGAACGAAGAUCGUUACCAUGUAUCGUCGUCCGCGAUAGAUCAUCAUACACCGAAUCGUGAACUCGAUUACGGACCCGCACGAUUCCAACAAUUCCAUUACGAGGAUUCUCUCGGUUUCAUUCCCCAGGAAAACACUCGAAACCGGAACGUUAACUGGAAACAACGUUUUCAAAAUCACUAUCCUGAUUUCGUCGACCACGAUACGUUUCCCGAAUAUCCUGUAAAUUACGAUAAAGUAUCUUACUCGGACGCAAGAUCUCCGAGUUCGAUUAAACCUCGACUCGAAAAUCGACUUCUGUUCGGACAAAAUAGAUUUUCCGUUUCGAACACGGACGAAUACCCCGAUGGAAGACAUCUGAAUUACGGUAACGCGUUCGGAUACAACGACAACUACGUAUCCGCUAAAAAGCAAUCGGUUCACGAAGAACGCGAUCAGCUAUCAACGACACGAAAAUGUUCGAUCAAAACUAUCACCGGUUCGAAAUUGAGCAGAAACGUGUUACGAAAAACUUGCUUGACGCACGAUUUCGAACAAUGCGAACAACUGUGUACGAACGAAACAGACUUCCCUUGCGAAAGUUUCGCUUACAGGUACCACGCGUUAAUUACCGAUCCGACCGAUAAUUGUUUAUUAAGCGAUCUCUCCUACCAAAAUAUCAAUUUUUAUACAGAUAUUGAACCUGAUCGCGAUUACAAUAGUUACAUAUUUAUACGAGAUCCAAAGAAGAUUCGCUAUUCGAAACACUCGACGAACCUGCACCCUUCGGAAGAGUGUUUCUCAAGAAUUCGAAGCGGAUACGCCAUUCCCACUGAUAUCACGAAACAAUUGUUGUUCGUUGGUGAUUUGGGAGAAUGUCAGUUCGCGUGUACAAGGUCCCAAGAGUUUGUCUGCAAAAGUCUCGUUUUUAAAUACGCGACAGAAUCGGAACAUCGUAGCCGAGUCGACGAACGCGAACCUCCGAAUUGUUUCUUGACCGAUUCGUCUUCGGAACAAAUCAAUCCCGUCGAUAUGUUCGACAUGGAUGGGGCCGAAUUAUACGAGCGAAACAGCUUUCCUUACGAUCGCGAAAAGCAUCCGCAUUCGUAUUCGUUCCCGUUGUCGACGUCGAAUAUCCUUUCACCCGGUAACACCGAAGAAUCGUCGUCGAUUCGUACGGAUGAGCGUUGUUAUUUCGAGCAUCACAGGCCAUGUAAAUUAAUGCCUCAUGCGAUAAUAUCUUCGACGAGGACUAUCACGAAACCAGAGUGCCAACAAAGAUGUUCGACAACGAGAAACACAGCCGCAACGCCUUGCAUGUCUUUCAAUUAUAUAAUAAACGCCGACAACGCCGGAGAUAAUUGUUUGUUCAGCGAUAUAUCGAUGCAAGAUCUAAGACCAAAUCUGGACUAUGUUUACGACAAUGGCCAUCUGCUAUACUCGUGGAAAGAUUUUGAUCCGUAUUGCAGCGUACCGACGAAUCAUUUUCACGCGAUAAACGUUACACCGGCUGCGGCGUUCGAAAAACACGAUCGUCCAUAUUGGUUCACGACAUCGAAUCGAUCGAGGCCGCAGGUUCAUCCGUUCAACGCCGAUAUUCCAAUUGCCAUUCGCGACCCUACCACUCGAGCUGAAACUACCAAGUUUCAAUUCGAAUCUUAUCGACACAAUUUCGAUCACGACUCGAAUAAUAUCGAGAACGGAUCUCUAUACGGCUCUACCGGUUUCGAACGUGAUUUCACGUUUCAUCGCUCGAAAGAGCUUUCCACGUUUCAACGGUACACGGUAAAUGGUUAUCCUUGCAAAAACGCCACUGUUUGUCAACGAAACGAAAUUACUGGAUUUUGGUCUUGCGAAAUCGAACAAGGUGAACACGGUAGUUGGGAUUAUUGUUGCGAACCUGACCAUCGAUGUGGAUUUUCUCGAGGAUAUCAUUAUCCCUGGUAGAUACCGAUACUCUUCAUCUAUCAACUUAUACAGAUUGUCCUGUAAUUAGUCUCCGAGCCACGAACGAGUAACAGAAGUUGUUGCGGUUGGGCGCGUACUCUUUACCCGCUUCUAUUGGUGUUACGUGGGCAUGAACGAAGAUCAAUGGAGGCCUUGUAG